GUGUAGUACAGUGUGUAUAGUACAGUGUGUAGUACAGUGUGUGUGUAGUACAGUGUGUAUAGUACAGUGUGUAUAGUACAGUGUGUAUUACAGUGUGUGUAUUACAGUGUGUGUAGUACAGUGUGUAUAGUACAGUGUGUAUUACAGUGUGUGUAGUACAGUGUGUAUAGUACAGUGUGUAUUACAGUGUUACAGUGUGUAUUACAGUGUGUGUAGUACAGUGUGUGUGUGUUACAGUGUGUGUGUGUAGUACAGCGUGUGUGUAUUACAGUGUGUGUAUUUCAGUUACAGUGUGUGUGUGUGUAGUACAGCGUGUGUGUAUUACAGUGUGUGUAUUACAGUGUGUGUAUUACAGUGUGUGUAUUACAGUGUGUGUAUUACAGUGUGUGUUGUACUGUGUGUGUGUAUUACAGUGUGUGUAGUACAGUGUGUGUGUGUAGUACAGUGUGUGUGUGUGUAUUACAGUGUGUGUAUUACAGUGUGUGUAGUACAGUGUGUGUGU
Molecule: long non-coding RNA, 502 nt
Organism: Ictalurus punctatus (channel catfish)
Lineage: Eukaryota; Metazoa; Chordata; Actinopteri; Siluriformes; Ictaluridae
Source: Ensembl